Molecule: transfer RNA, 64 nt
Filed under: unidentified
Description: Strongylium kulzeri tRNA-Phe
Source: RNAcentral
UGCUUAGAUAGCUUAUAUAGAGCGUAACACUGAAAAUGUUAGGGAAAUUUAUAUUUCUAGGUAU